UUAGCACACAAAUUCAGGGGCCCAUGUUGGAUGUACUGAUAAUGUCCUCUGACUGUUAUCUACCUUUAUACACCCAUGGGACUCCUGUGUAACUGAGGUCCCAAGGCCAUUGUCCUACUUAUAUUUCUACAACUUAUAUCAUUGAGCCAAUAGCAGGCUUUCUGCUGAUCACGUGUGCACACUUUUCAGGUUAACAGUAGGUGAGGCGAAGGAACUUCUUGGAGGAGAAAUCAACUCAGGAGGGCGUACGACACACGGCUUCUGUCACCUAGAUAAGCCAUGUGCUUGUAGUAAGAAAAGAAGAGUUUUGUGUAACCACAAAGAGAAGGACUGGGAAGGGAGCCAGGAUCCUCCUGUAAUCGCCUUGGAUUCAUUCAUGAGAGACAAGUCAGAUGGAAAGUGUAUAAAAGCUCCCUCCUGGCCAGAGAGAAGGCAGAGGAUAAGGACUGGUUGUUUGGUUUAGGGUUCUAUUAUUUCUGGGGAGUCCCCUUGUGUUUCUUGGCCUGUCGGUACACAACUGGCCAUAAAUUGUACUCACACCUUCCGAAGGCUUGAAAUAAAAACUCUAAACAAAUACAUUGA
This is a long non-coding RNA of Xenopus tropicalis (tropical clawed frog), 582 nucleotides long. RefSeq lists it as uncharacterized. The record is from RefSeq and is a predicted model, not a curated record. The transcript has 2 exons. Lineage: Eukaryota; Metazoa; Chordata; Amphibia; Anura; Pipidae.